Molecule: long non-coding RNA, 452 nt
Filed under: Homo sapiens (human)
Lineage: Eukaryota; Metazoa; Chordata; Mammalia; Primates; Hominidae
Description: HSALNT0163994
Source: RNAcentral
GUUUCAUUAUGUUGCCCAGGCUGGUCUCAAACUUCCGGACUCAAGCGAUCCACCUGCCUCAGCCUCCCAGAGUGCCAGAUUGGUAUCACGGGCGUGAGCCACUGUGCCAGACCGGCAGCCACUGCUGGGUCCUUCUGAGCUGCUCACCCCGCCUCGGCUUCAGGGCUCUCCUCAGGUGCCUCGUCUUCCCAGGGGUAGAAUUCCCUGGAGCAUGGCCAGGGGAGUGACUCCUGUGCCAGGCCACGACAGAGGGCACCCCUACACUGGGCAGACAGGAGGUCCCUAUUGUUUCCUGGACCUGUGGACUUUGUCGCUCCAUCACAGUCUCCUUGGAGGGAACACAGUCUUUGGAAACUCUGCCUUCUUAAAAAAAGCUUCCCAUUUUUAACAAAAGUUUACCAUUUUAAUUCUUAUUAUAAGUAAGUGGUUUAUGUAUCCUAAUCAUGGUAUUG